UGGCGGCGUGCCUAACACAUGCAAGUCGAACGAGGUCCAUCCUUCGGGAGAAGACCUAGUGGCGAACGGGUGAGUAACACGUGAGAAACCUGCCCCGAAGACCGGGAUAACCCCCCGAAAGGAGAGCUAAUACCGGAUACCCCCACCGAGCCGCAUGGUCUGGUGAGGAAAUGGAUUCCGCUUCGGGAGGGUCUCGCGGNCUAUCAGCUUGUUGGGGGGGUAACGGCCCACCAAGGCAUCGACGGGUAGCUGGUCUGAGAGGACGAUCAGCCACACUGGGACUGAGACACGGNCCAGACUCCUACGGGAGGCAGCAGUGGGGAAUCUUGUGCAAUGGGCGAAAGCCUGACGCAGCAACGCCGCGUGGGGGACGAAGGCUCUCGNNUUGUAAACCCC
Molecule: ribosomal RNA, 396 nt
Filed under: uncultured bacterium
Lineage: Bacteria
Description: bacterial SSU rRNA
Rfam family: Bacterial small subunit ribosomal RNA
Source: RNAcentral